Molecule: ribosomal RNA, 717 nt
Filed under: Shigella flexneri
Lineage: Bacteria; Pseudomonadati; Pseudomonadota; Gammaproteobacteria; Enterobacterales; Enterobacteriaceae
Description: bacterial SSU rRNA
Rfam family: Bacterial small subunit ribosomal RNA
Source: RNAcentral
CAGGAAGCAGCUUGCUGUUUCGCUGACGAGUGGCGGACGGGUGAGUAAUGUCUGGGAAACUGCCUGAUGGAGGGGGAUAACUACUGGAAACGGUAGCUAAUACCGCAUAACGUCGCAAGACCAAAGAGGGGGACCUUCGGGCCUCUUGCCAUCGGAUGUGCCCAGAUGGGAUUAGCUAGUAGGUGGGGUAACGGCUCACCUAGGCGACGAUCCCUAGCUGGUCUGAGAGGAUGACCAGCCACACUGGAACUGAGACACGGUCCAGACUCCUACGGGAGGCAGCAGUGGGGAAUAUUGCACAAUGGGCGCAAGCCUGAUGCAGCCAUGCCGCGUGUAUGAAGAAGGCCUUCGGGUUGUAAAGUACUUUCAGCGGGGAGGAAGGGAGUAAAGUUAAUACCUUUGCUCAUUGACGUUACCCGCAGAAGAAGCACCGGCUAACUCCGUGCCAGCAGCCGCGGUAAUACGGAGGGUGCAAGCGUUAAUCGGAAUUACUGGGCGUAAAGCGCACGCAGGCGGUUUGUUAAGUCAGAUGUGAAAUCCCCGGGCUCAACCUGGGAACUGCAUCUGAUACUGGCAAGCUUGAGUCUCGUAGAGGGGGGUAGAAUUCCAGGUGUAGCGGUGAAAUGCGUAGAGAUCUGGAGGAAUACCGGUGGCGAAGGCGGCCCCCUGGACGAAGACUGACGCUCAGGUGCGAAAGCGUGGGGAGCAAACAGGAUU